This 447-nucleotide ribosomal RNA is filed under the name uncultured bacterium. RNAcentral describes it as "bacterial SSU rRNA". It matches the Rfam family "Bacterial small subunit ribosomal RNA", at positions 72 to 518 of the family's 1533-position model. The record is from RNAcentral.
GACUAAGACUGAGUGGCCGGACCGGCGCGACGGGUGAGUAACGCGUAUCCAACCUGGCCCUUAGUAGGGAACAGCCCGGCGAAAGUCGGAUUAAUGCCCUAUGUUCUCCAAUGAUGGCAUCUGACUUGGAACAAAGAUUCAUCGCUAAGGGAUGGGGAUGCGUCUGAUUAGCUUGUCGGCGGGGUAACGGCCCACCGAGGCGACGAUCAGUAGGGGUUCUGAGAGGAAGGUCCCCCACAUUGGUACUGAGACACGGACCAAACUCCUACGGGAGGCAGCAGUGAGGAAUAUUGGUCAAUGGGCGUAAGCCUGAACCAGCCAAGUAGCGUGCAGGAAGACUGCCCUAUGGGUUGUAAACUGCUUUUAUGCGGGAAUAAAGUCAGGUACGCGUACCUGUUUGUAUGUACCGCAUGAAUAAGGACCGGCUAAUUCCGUGCCAGCCGCGGC